This 57-nucleotide transfer RNA is filed under the name Dipodomys ordii (Ord's kangaroo rat). It matches the Rfam family "tRNA", at positions 9 to 63 of the family's 71-position model. From Rfam's summary of the family: Transfer RNA (tRNA) molecules are approximately 80 nucleotides in length. The record is from Rfam by way of RNAcentral. Lineage: Eukaryota; Metazoa; Chordata; Mammalia; Rodentia; Heteromyidae.
GGCUCAGUGGUAGAGUGCUUGCCUCCCACGCAGGAGGCCCUGGGUUCGAUUCCUCAG